This 300-nucleotide ribosomal RNA is filed under the name uncultured Sulfuricurvum sp. RNAcentral describes it as "partial 16S ribosomal RNA". It matches the Rfam family "Bacterial small subunit ribosomal RNA", at positions 495 to 795 of the family's 1533-position model. Lineage: Bacteria; Pseudomonadati; Campylobacterota; Epsilonproteobacteria; Campylobacterales; Sulfurimonadaceae. The record is from RNAcentral.
GUGUAGUUGGUGGUAGUAGCGUGGGUAAUACGCAGUGUGGUAGCGUGUUCGGUAGUUAGUGGGUUGUAAGGGUGCGUAGGAGGCGUGAUAAGUAAGGGGUGAAAUCCUAUCGCUUAACGAUAGACGGGCCAUUGAUACUGUAGGGCUUGAGUACAGAUGCCGUUGGCGGAAUGUGUCAUGUAGCGGUGAAAUGCAUAGAUAGGACACAGAACACCGAUUGCGAAGGCAGCUGACGAAACUGUAACUGACGCGGAUGCACGAAAGCGUGGGGAUCAAACAGGAUUAGAUACCCGAGUAGUC